RNAcentral lists this ribosomal RNA (405 nucleotides) under uncultured bacterium. RNAcentral's name for it is "bacterial SSU rRNA". It matches the Rfam family "Bacterial small subunit ribosomal RNA", at positions 108 to 507 of the family's 1533-position model. The record is from RNAcentral.
GAGGAAUGCAUGGGUAACCUACCCUCGAGUGGGAAUAACUAGCCAAAGGUUAGCUAAUACCGCAUACGUUUCCGGAAACUUCGGUUUCGGAAAGAAAGCAAUACCGUGGGUAUUGCGCUCCUGGAUGGGCUCAUGUCCUAUCAGCUUGUUGGUGAGGUAACGGCUCACCCAAGGCUUCGACGGGUAGCUGGUCUGAGAGGACGAUCAGCCACACUGGCACUGCGACACGGGCCAGACUCCUACGGGAGGCAGCAGUAAGGAAUAUUGCGCAAUGGACGAAAGUCUGACGCAGCGACGCCGCGUGGGGGAUGAAGGUCUUCGGAUUGUAAACCCCUUUCGGGAGGGAAGAUGGAGUGGGUAACCACUUGGACGGUACCUCCAGAAGCAGCCACGGCUAACUUCGUG